Molecule: ribosomal RNA, 253 nt
Filed under: uncultured bacterium
Lineage: Bacteria
Description: partial 16S ribosomal RNA
Rfam family: Bacterial small subunit ribosomal RNA
Source: RNAcentral
UACAGAGGGGGCAAGCGUUGUUCGGAAUUACUGGGCGUAAAGCGCGCGCAGGCGGUUCUUCAAGUCAGUGGUGAAAGCCCGGAGCUCAACUCCGGAAAUGCCAUUGAAACUGUAGAACUUGAGGACGAGAGAGGUGAGUGGAAUUCCCAGUGUAGAGGUGAAAUUCGUAGAUAUUGGGAAGAACACCGGUGGCGAAGGCGGCUCACUGGCUCGUUUCUGACGCUCAGGCGCGAUAGCGUGGGGAUCAAACAGG